This 22-nucleotide non-coding RNA is filed under the name Alligator mississippiensis (American alligator). Its record names the gene ami-miR-302a-3p. The record is from miRBase by way of RNAcentral. RNAcentral also lists the same sequence under 1 other name. Lineage: Eukaryota; Metazoa; Chordata; Crocodylia; Alligatoridae.
UAAGUGCUUCCAUGUUUUGGUG